UGAAAUGCGAAAAGUAAUGUGAAUUGCAUGAAUCUGUGAAUCAUUAAGUAUUUGAACGCACAUGGCACUUGUCAACAUUGUUGAUGAGUAUACCUGUUUGAGAGUAUAAAGGUGUAGUAUGCUUUUGUAUAGAAGCGUGUAAUGUGGUGAAUCAGCGGGAUAUGUGUUCUGUUGAGCCAUGAAAUAAGAAAAGAGUUAACCACCGAAUAGUGUGAUAAGAGGGCGGAAUGUCCUUUUCACGAUUUGGUUUGAUAAGCUCUUUAUAAUGUGAACUUUAUAUAUGAACCUCAAAUCAGGCAAGAUUACCCGCUAAACUUAA
RNAcentral lists this unclassified non-coding RNA (319 nucleotides) under uncultured fungus. RNAcentral describes it as "sequence contains ITS1". The stretch from base 1 to 107 matches the Rfam family "5.8S ribosomal RNA", at positions 49 to 154 of the family's 154-position model. Lineage: Eukaryota; Fungi. The record is from RNAcentral.